Molecule: ribosomal RNA, 491 nt
Filed under: Eimeria sordida
Lineage: Eukaryota; Apicomplexa; Conoidasida; Eucoccidiorida; Eimeriidae
Description: SSU rRNA
Rfam family: Eukaryotic small subunit ribosomal RNA
Source: RNAcentral
UUGUAAUUGGAAUGAUGGGAAUGUAAAACCCUUCCAGAGUAACAAUUGGAGGGCAAGUCUGGUGCCAGCAGCCGCGGUAAUUCCAGCUCCAAUAGUGUAUAUUAGAGUUGUUGCAGUUAAAAAGCUCGUAGUCGGAUUUCUGUCGUGGUCAGCCGGUGCCGCCCGUAUGGGUGUGCGCCUGGUUUGCCCGCGGCUUUUUUCCGGUAGCCUUCCGCGCUUAAUUGCGUGUGUUGGUGUUCUGGAACUUUUACUUUGAGAAAAAUAGAGUGUUUCAAGCAGGCUUGUCGCCCUGAAUACUGCAGCAUGGAAUAAUAAGAUAGGACCUCGGUUCUAUUUUGUUGGUUUCUAGGACCAAGGUAAUGAUUAAUAGGGACAGUUGGGGGCAUUCGUAUUUAACUGUCAGAGGUGAAAUUCUUAGAUUUGUUAAAGACGAACUACUGCGAAAGCAUUUGCCAAGGAUGUUUUCAUUAAUCAAGAACGACAGUAGGGGG